CACUUGAGCCUGGGAGGUUGAGGCUGCGGUGAGCCAAGAUUGAGCCACUGCACUCCAGCCUGGGUGACAAAGAAAGACCCUGUCGAAGAAGAAGAAGCAGCAGCAGCAGAAAAAGAAGAAGAAGAAGAAGCAGAAGAAGCAGAAGAAGAAGCAGAAGAAGAAGAAGCAGAAGAAGAAGAAGAAGAAACAAAGGGGAGGAUGCAACUUGGAGAGGCCCAGCCCCUAGGAGAAAGCCUAACUGCAGUAAAGGAGUCCUGGAGACAGGACAAGAAUGAAGUCAAUGAAGCAUAGCAGGAGUGGAGAUAAAGACGCGCAUGAAAUUUGGUGCUGUGACUCGGAUUGGGGGACCUCCCUUGGGAGAUCAAUCCCCUGUACUCCUGUUCUUUGCUCCGUGAGAAAGAUCCACCUAUGAUCUCAGGUCCUCAGACCGACCAGCCCAAGGAACAUCUCACCAAUUUUAAAUCAGAUGAAGAAACUGGGGCUCUGAAUGGCAUAUUAACGCGUGCAGCUCCAGACAGCGAGGAAGUGAUGGCAACUCUAUCCGAACUCAAAUCUGCCAGACCUAUACCAGUAGGUGCCUGUGUGCAGUUGGGGACUCACCUCUGCCAGUGCUGGCAUGAGCUAGCUGUCUUGAACUGAAAACAGACACUCAAAGAUGGGCUGUGGGAUCCCAGAGAGGUGGCAGAAUGGUCAAAGCUAUGAAGCCAACAGCUGCUGCCAACAAGAAAGUCCUGAGCCCUGAGUGAUUGUAAUUUAAACUUAAUGCUGGGAGUGGGUGUUUAUUUUGGAGGAGUGGGCUGCUUAUUUUUGGUUUGGGGACUUGUUCAUUCAUCUUUUCUCAGCGGCGCCUACUGCUGCCCUGGCCCGAAGUUAAAGCUCAAUAAAUCACUGUUGCACAACUGA
Molecule: long non-coding RNA, 903 nt
Filed under: Homo sapiens (human)
Lineage: Eukaryota; Metazoa; Chordata; Mammalia; Primates; Hominidae
Description: long intergenic non-protein coding RNA 3141
Source: RNAcentral